Molecule: ribosomal RNA, 441 nt
Filed under: uncultured bacterium
Lineage: Bacteria
Description: bacterial SSU rRNA
Rfam family: Bacterial small subunit ribosomal RNA
Source: RNAcentral
GAUGAACGCUGGCGGUGUGCUUAAUGCAUGCAAGUCGAACGGUCCUUCGGGACAGUGGCGAACGGGUGAGUAACGCGUAAGUAACCUGCCCCUAAGUGGGGGAUAACUUCGGGAAACUGGAGCUAAUACCGCAUGUGGUCCUUCUGCAAAAGCGGAAGGAUUAAAGCCUUCGGGUGCUUGGGGAGUGGCUUGCGUCCGAUUAGCUUGUUGGUGAGGUAACGGCCCACCAAGGCAAUGAUCGGUAGCUGGUCUGAGAGGAUGGCCAGCCACACUGGGACUGAGACACGGCCCAGACUCCUACGGGAGGCAGCAGCAAGGAAUAUUGUGCAAUGGGCGAAAGCCUGACACAGCGACACCGCGUGGGGGAUGAAGGCCUUCGGGUUGUAAACUCCUUUUCUCAGGGAAGAACAAUGACGUACCUGAGAAUAAGUCUCGCUAACU